AGAAUCAACGCUGGCGGCGUGCCUAACACAUGCAAGUCGCACGAGAAAGGGGAGCAAUCCCUGAGUAAAGUGGCGUACGGGUGAGUAACACGUGAAUCAUCUACCUUCGAGUGUGGAAUAACUGAGAGAAAUCUUAGCUAAUACCGCAUAAUACUUACGAGUCAAAGCAGCAAUGCGCUUGAAGAGGAGUUCGCGGCAGAUUAGUUAGUUGGCGGGGUAAUGGCCCACCAAGACGAUGAUCUGUA
RNAcentral lists this ribosomal RNA (245 nucleotides) under uncultured bacterium. RNAcentral's name for it is "partial small subunit ribosomal RNA". It matches the Rfam family "Bacterial small subunit ribosomal RNA", at positions 26 to 285 of the family's 1533-position model. The record is from RNAcentral.